Molecule: ribosomal RNA, 1034 nt
Filed under: Gossypium arboreum
Lineage: Eukaryota; Viridiplantae; Streptophyta; Magnoliopsida; Malvales; Malvaceae
Description: Bacterial small subunit ribosomal RNA
Rfam family: Bacterial small subunit ribosomal RNA
Source: Rfam by way of RNAcentral
AAGAAUGUGAAUUGAUCUACAUUUGUAAUGAACUGAAAAUUGGUUACCCUAGUAGUUGUUUGGACAGAGUCGGAUAUAGUUGGCUUGCCAUUUGUUCAAAAUUGUAACGACCCGAAAGUCAGUUGUGUCAGAAGUGAAGGUUUUGGAACCCCAUUUUUUAUGUUUAAGCUCAUAAAUAUUAGCGAGGAAAUGCAUAGAGAUCAGAAAGAACACCAACGGCAAAAGCACUUUACUGGGCCGGCACUAACACUGAAAGACGAAAGCUAUGGGAGCGAAUGGGAUUAGAUACCCAGUAAUUCUAGCCAGAAAUAAUGAAUACUAGGUGUUGUGUGUAUCGACCUGUGCACUACUAUAGUUAGCGCAUUAAGCAUCUAGCCUGGGGUGUACGUUCACAAGAAUAAAACUCAAAAGAAUUGACGGUGGCCAACACAAGCGGUGGAGCAUGUGGUUUAAUUUGAUGCAAAGUGAAGAACCUUACUAGGGCUUAACAUGCCGUGAAUCCUUUUGAAAGGGAGGGGUGCCUUAGCAAAGCGGACACAUGUGGUGCAUGGCUGUUGUUAGCUUGUGUCGUAAGUUGUUGGAUUAAGUCCCGCAAUGAGCGCAUCCCUCAUGUUUAGUUGCCACUGUUGAGUAUGGAACCCUUAACAGACUAGCGGUGAUAAGCCGGAGGAAGGUGAGGAUGACAUUAAGUCAUCAUGCCCCUUACGCCCUGGAGGACACAUGUGUUACAAUGGAUGGGAUAAAGGGUCACGAUCCCACGAGGGUGAGCUAACUCCAAAAACCCAUUCUCAGUUUAGAUUGCAGGCUGUAACUUGCCCGCAUGAAGCCAGAAUCGUUAGUAAUCGCCUGCCAGCCAUACAAUGGUGAAUUCAUUCUCAGGCCUGAUACACACCGCCUGUCACACUAUGGAAACUAGCCAUGCCAGAAGUCGUUACUUUAACCACAGAAAAGGGAUACCGAAGACAGGGCUAAUGACUGGAGUGAAGUCGUAACAAGGUAGUCGUACUGGAAAGUGCGGCAGGAUCACCUUCUUU